RNAcentral lists this ribosomal RNA (443 nucleotides) under uncultured bacterium. Its description in RNAcentral is "bacterial SSU rRNA". It matches the Rfam family "Bacterial small subunit ribosomal RNA", at positions 958 to 1399 of the family's 1533-position model. The record is from RNAcentral.
AACGCGAAGAACCUUACCUGGGCUCGAAAUGCUAUGGACCAGCUGGUGAAAGCCGGCCUUCCCGCAAGGGGCUGCUAUAUAGGUGCUGCAUGGCUGUCGUCAGCUCGUGUCGUGAGAUGUUGGGUUAAGUCCCGCAACGAGCGCAACCCUUGUUACCAGUUGCUACCAUUUAGUUGAGCACUCUGGUGAGACCGCCUCGGAUAACGGGGAGGAAGGCGGGGAUGACGUCAAGUCCUCAUGGCCUUUAUGUCCAGGGCUACACACGUGCUACAAUAGGCCGGUACAAACCGUUGCAAACCCGCGAGGGGGAGCUAAUCGGAAAAAGCCGGCCUCAGUUCGGAUUAGAGUCUGCAACUCGACUCUAUGAAGCUGGAAUCGCUAGUAAUCGCGGAUCAGAACGCCGCGGUGAAUACGUUCCCGGGCCUUGUACACACCGACUGUAC